CCAGGCACAUAGUAGGUGUUUA
RNAcentral lists this microRNA (22 nucleotides) under Sarcophilus harrisii (Tasmanian devil). RNAcentral's name for it is "Sha-Novel-19_5p* (star (passenger))". Lineage: Eukaryota; Metazoa; Chordata; Mammalia; Dasyuromorphia; Dasyuridae. The record is from RNAcentral.